Molecule: ribosomal RNA, 429 nt
Filed under: Trichadenotecnum sabahense
Lineage: Eukaryota; Metazoa; Arthropoda; Insecta; Psocodea; Psocidae
Description: SSU rRNA
Rfam family: Eukaryotic small subunit ribosomal RNA
Source: RNAcentral
GUUAUGGUUCCAUUGGUGGCACAAACAUUUACUUGGAUAACUGUGGUAAUUCUAGAGCUAAUACAUGCAAAUUGAGCCCCAACCAUUCAUUGGAAGGGGUGCUUUUAUUAGAUCAAAACUAAUCAGGCUGUAAAGGCUUGUACGUUCUGGUGACUCUGAAUAACUUUUGGCUGAUCGCAUGGUCUUGUACCGGCGACGCAUCUUUCAAAUGUCUGACUUAUCACACUUUCGAUGGUAGGCUCUGCGCUUACUAUGGUUGUAACGGGUAACGGGGAAUCAGGGUUCGAUUCCGGAGAGGGAGCCUGAGAAACGGCUACCACAUCCAAGGAAGGCAGCAGGCGCGCAAAUUACCCACUCCCAGCACGGGGAGGUAGUGACGAAAAAUAACGAUGCAGAACUCACAUCCGAGGCUCUGCAAUCGGACAUGAG